Molecule: ribosomal RNA, 485 nt
Filed under: uncultured Lactobacillus sp.
Lineage: Bacteria; Bacillati; Bacillota; Bacilli; Lactobacillales; Lactobacillaceae
Description: bacterial SSU rRNA
Rfam family: Bacterial small subunit ribosomal RNA
Source: RNAcentral
AUUUACUUCGGGUAAAUGACGUUAGGAAAGCGAGCGGCGGAUGGGUGAGUAACGACGUGGGGAAACCUGCCCCCGAUAGUCUGGGAUACCGACUUGGAAACAGGUAGCUAAUACCGGAUAAGAAAGCAGAUCGCAUGAUCAGCUUUUAAAAAGGCGGCGUAAGCUGUCGCUAUGGGACUGGCCCCGCGGUGCAUUAGCUAGUUGGUAAGGUAAAGGCUUACCAAGGCGAUGAUGCAUAGCCGAGUUGAGAGACUGAUCGGCCACAUUGGGACUGAGACACGGCCCAAACUCCUACGGGAGGCAGCAGUAGGGAAUCUUCCACAAUGGACGCAAGUCUGAUGGAGCAACGCCGCGUGAGUGAAGAAGGUUUUCGGAUCGUAAAGCUCUGUUGUUGGUGAAGAAGGAUAGAGGUAGUAACUGGCCUUUAUUUGACGGUAAUCAACCAGAAAGUCACGGCUAACUACGUGCCAGCAGCCGCGGUAAAU